Long non-coding RNA from Bos taurus (domestic cattle), 2924 nucleotides. The record is from Ensembl. Lineage: Eukaryota; Metazoa; Chordata; Mammalia; Artiodactyla; Bovidae.
GCUCCAAAGUCACUGCAGAUGGUGACUGCAGCCAUGAAAUUAAAAACACUUGCCCCUUGGAAGGAAAGCUAUGACAAACCUAGACAGCAUAUUAAAAAACAGAGACAUCACUUUGCUGAUAAAGGUCUGUACCGUCAAAGCUAUGGCUUUCCCAGUAGUCAUGUACAGAUGUGAGAGCUGGACAAUAUAGAAGGCAGAGUGCUGAAGAAUGUAUGCUUUUGAACUGUGGUGCUGGAGAAGACUCUUGAGAAUCCCUUGGACUGUAAGGAGAUCAAAUCAGUCAAUCCUAAGGGAAAUCAACCCUGAAUAUUUAUUGGAAGGACUGUUGCUGAAGCUCCAAUACUUUGGCCACUUGAUGCAAACAGUCGACUCAUUGGAAAAGACCCUGAUCCUGGGAAAGAUUGAGGGCAAAAGGAGAAGUGGGUGGCAGAGGAUGAGAUGAUUAAUAGCAUCACCGACUCAACGGACAUGAAUUUGAGCAAAUUCUGGGAAAUCAUGGAGGACAGAAGAGCUUGGCAUGCUACAGUCUAUGCAGAGUCAGGCACCCUUUAGCUACUUCCUGAACAACAACGAAAACUGGUGGGACUGGAAAUUUAAAGAACCUGCUUUAAAUUGGAUAGCCACAAGAGGGAGCUCUCCGGUUAGACUGGAAUGUUGGACACUGAUGGCCGGAAUAACGUUCUCACUUGGGACCACCAAAACAUGUGACGUAGAGACGACCAAAACCCUAAGGCUGUGGCCCACUGGACUUAUAAAUCAGACGGCCUUCUUGAGCUGAGGUUUCUGUGGGAGGGAGGCUGGAUUGAUCACUGAAUUGUCUCUUGUUUACAAGUUGCCGGAAGUUGUAGUUCUUUACUGUUCAGGACUCGGUGGUGAAGUGUUACACUCAGUGGUGAUAUCCUGAGACAGUUAAAUAUGAAGGGCAUUGUGGAGUGUGUGUGUCUACUCUCAGAGAGAAUACUCAAGGCAUAGUUACCACUUCAUAGUGUCAGCACAACUCUGCUCUCUAAGCACCACAGAAAAGGAGGGCAUCUCUGGAAGCACGUGGGCUCACGGGAACUUUCCCUGUUGUGCUCUGGAAGUUCAGGACCCAGGGCUGGGACCGUGAGAGCGGUGCCCAUCUCCAAAUGGGCACCUCAGAAAAGCCAAGACUGCAGCCCGCGCAGGUUCAAUUUAGGUAGAAUAUGUGUGGUCUCGAGGGUGAGGUGAGCUAGACACCCCGGGUCAAGACUGGAGGUGGUGCUCCCCGUGGUCCUGGCCUGUGUCCUCCACCCCUCCUCUGCCACGGUCCAUCCCCAAAAGCCCUCUCAGGCACAGCCUCUGGCUUAGUAGUCUGGAGCCUCCCCUUCCCUGAUCCCACCAGUGCUGGGAAAGAUUCAGUCUUUUACUCCUCAGCUUGAUUUCAGGACAUCACUAGUUCCUUCAGAAGCAUCUGUGUUUUAACUGGGCUGUAAUUUUUGACCUAAAACACUUUCUUUCUCCUAUCUUCCUUCUGUCCCGACUCCCAGCAUCUUAAAGGAGUCUCAAGUGCUGCCCAAACCCGAACAGCCCUCUCCAUCAGAUGAAAGGUUCCUCCCAGGCAAGGCUCCUGUUCGUUGCUUCUGUGGGUUUCCAAGGGCAAAACUAUGGGAUGUUUCUUCACUGAAGGCCAUCCCUCUGAUAUCCUGUUCUCCGCACAUCUGGUCGCUGCCUUCCUGUCCUCAGCUGGUUUAAUCCUGGUAGCAGGCACUUCUGAAUCACGCGGUGGGGGCCGAGAGCGCUCACAGGCUCCCAGUCAGGCUCCGAGCGCUCAGCAACCUCUGACAGAGCCCACGUGCCGCCAUCUUCCUCUGCCCAGGCCUUGCCUUGGGGGUGAAGGAUCACCCUCAGGCUGAAUGGGGUUUCCGUCCUCUUAUCCCAGGGGAGACUUCCAUUUUGUGAAGUGGCUGAAUCAUGUCCCUGUGGGACUCACGUCCAGGUUCUUUGACUUCUGGGUGCAAACACUGCAGGGACGGCCACCAGCCUCCUCAGCUUGGCCCAGGUCCUCUGAGCUGAUCCUCCCUGUGCCCCUUGUCUCCUUUCCCAUUUACCCCUGGCCUCAGACGCUGAGCGGCCCCCAGCUCCUCUUGCUGGACCCACAGGCCUAUCCCAGCCUCUCUUCGCCUCAGAAAAAUCAGUUUUUAAACAGCCCAUUAAUGUCCUGACAAGAAUUUCCCCCAAGUCCCUGAUUAGGGUGCCCAUUUCCCAGCCACACAGCCCCCUCCUCAUACCCCUCUGUGGGGAUUUAUGGUAGAAACGUGUGGAAGAGUGUGGAGGAGAAACACGUGGAGGAGGCAACCAUUAUCUUGCCCUCAGAGGUCCUGAUCAUCUGUCCUUAACGUUUCAAAAAUACGGAACCUACAAUUGCUGCUUGAGGCGGGGAUGUUGUUGGUUGUUUUUCAACCAAUAUCCUCAGAAUAUCAUAUUACUCAGGCCCUGCUGUCUUGGGUAUGCCCCCACUGCAGAGAUCAGCCAGUCCUGGCUCUUACUUCAUUUAUCUGAAAAGCCCUCCAUUACCCACCCUCAAAUCUGACCUCAUUCCUGGCUCCUCUGGGAUGUACACACGGACACCAGGAGACCAGCAGGGUUCCACACUGGUUUAACUAACUUUGAAAAACAGAAAAACAUAAACACUGAGAAAAGUGAGACGCUAUCAUUUUUGCUUCAAAUAGUAGUUCAUUGUCUUCAAUUUCAGGGCAUCCAGAAUAUAUAAUUUUGUCAGCCUGUUAACCACAAUUUUAGUAAAAGAGAUAAAAUCCAGCCUGUUAAAAAAAAAAAAGCAUGAGAUAUUCUCUUGCUGCUGCUGCUGUUGCUAAGUCACCUCAGUCGUGUCUGACUUUGUGCGACCCCGUAGACGGCAGCCCACUAGGCUCCCCCGUCCCUGGGAUUCUCCAGGCAAGAACAAU